UACGAACUGUGCAAACGUUAUUCGGAAUCACUGGGCUUACAGGGUGCGUAGGCGGUCUGUUAAGUAGGGUGUGAAAGCCCCCGGCUCAACCGGGGAAUUGCGCCCUAAACUGGCGGACUGGAGUGAGAUAGGGGUGUGCGGAACUUCCGGUGGAGCGGUGGAAUGCGCAGAUAUCAGGAGGAACACCAAUAGCGAAGGCAGCUCGCUGGGACGUUACUGACACUGAGGCGCGAAAGCGUGGGGAGCGAACAGG
Molecule: ribosomal RNA, 253 nt
Filed under: uncultured bacterium
Lineage: Bacteria
Description: partial 16S ribosomal RNA
Rfam family: Bacterial small subunit ribosomal RNA
Source: RNAcentral